UACGAAGGUAGUGAAAUAAGGCUUUAAAUGAGCGCUAAGUGAAUGGGCAUAUGGGGGGGCACUAUCUUUAGUAAAAGAUUAGAAUUUUUUUUAAAAAUGAAAAAAUUUUUAUAUACUAGUGGGACAAGAAGACCCUAUGAAUCUUAAUAUUUGUAGCAAACUGGAAUUUGCUAUAAUUAUUUGGUUGGGGCGACAGAAAAAUAAUAAGUAACUUUAUUAUGAAAGUUUAUUAAAACUUGAUGGAAAAGAUACUCUAGGGAUAACAGCGUAAUUAUUUUGGAAAGGCCAAAUUGAUAAAAUAGUUUGCGACCUCGAUGUUGAAUUAGUGGACCUUCUUAGCCGCAGCAGGUUAGAAAGGCAGAUUGUUCAUCUGUUAAAUCACU
RNAcentral lists this ribosomal RNA (383 nucleotides) under Orthohalarachne diminuata. Its description in RNAcentral is "partial large subunit ribosomal RNA". The stretch from base 119 to 383 matches the Rfam family "Bacterial large subunit ribosomal RNA", at positions 2075 to 2597 of the family's 2925-position model. The record is from RNAcentral. Lineage: Eukaryota; Metazoa; Arthropoda; Arachnida; Mesostigmata; Halarachnidae.